This is a non-coding RNA of Megalopta genalis, 368 nucleotides long. NCBI's taxonomy places the organism in Eukaryota, Metazoa, Arthropoda, Insecta, Hymenoptera, Halictidae. The record is from RefSeq and is a predicted model, not a curated record.
GAACGUGUUAUAAAAAAUGCGAAGAUAAAGGUUUCUACGUUACAAAUCGAAUUGCAUGUCUACUUUCAACAAAAGGAAUUAUGGUAGACUGAAAUAUACUGUAAAGGAGUGGAAGCGAGACCUCAUAAAUGGGAUUGGAUGGUGCCAAUGGAUUCCAAUGGAAAUUUAAAAAGACAGUGUCGAUUAGCAUAUUUCGACCCACUUCACUACUCUGCAGCACAUCCCAGACUACCACUGACAAGGAGAACUUACGAUUAUGGAAAUUGCCUUUGAAAUGAGAGUGGGUUGAAGUUACAGUACAUACCUAACACAUCAAAGAACUAUAAUAAGAUUUUUCAAAAUACACCUUCGUUUUUGACAUAUUUUAA